This 485-nucleotide ribosomal RNA is filed under the name uncultured bacterium. RNAcentral's name for it is "bacterial SSU rRNA". It matches the Rfam family "Bacterial small subunit ribosomal RNA", at positions 28 to 526 of the family's 1533-position model. The record is from RNAcentral.
GACGAACGCUGGCGGCGUGCCUAACACAUGCAAGUCGAGCGGGGAAGGUGCCUUCGGGUGCUUUUCUAGCGGCGGACGGGUGAGUAACGCGUGAGCAAUCUGUCCUUUAGAGGGGGAUAACACAUUGAAAGAUGUGCUAAUACCGCAUGAGACCACAACUUCGAAUGGAGAAGGGGUCAAAGGAGAAAUCCGCUAAAGGGUGAGCUCGCGUCUGAUUAGCUAGUUGGUGAGGUAACGGCCCACCAAGGCGACGAUCAGUAGCCGGCCUGAGAGGGCGAUCGGCCACACUGGAACUGAGAAACGGUCCAGACUCCUACGGGAGGCAGCAGUGGGGAAUAUUGGGCAAUGGGCGAAAGCCUGACCCAGCAACGCCGCGUGAGGGAAGAAGGCCUUCGGGUCGUAAACCUUUGUCCCAUGUGAAGAGCAGAAGACGGUAGCAUGGGAGGAAGCCCCGGCUAACUACGUGCCAGCCGCCGCGGUAAAAC